Molecule: long non-coding RNA, 1183 nt
Filed under: Cucumis sativus (cucumber)
Lineage: Eukaryota; Viridiplantae; Streptophyta; Magnoliopsida; Cucurbitales; Cucurbitaceae
Description: long non-coding RNA (CSAT_LNC002438)
Source: RNAcentral
ACUCCUCUGGAUCUGCAAAUGAAGAGGCCUCCAUUAAGCUUAAAGUGCCUGCAUGGGACAUCCUUGAAGCAACUCCCUUUGUUCUUGAUGCUGCUCUUACUGCCUGUGCUCAUGGACGAUUGUCCCCCCGUGAUUUGGCUACAGGCAAGUCUAAAACAUUCUUUUAAUAAGAAACAAGAGAUACUAAUUUACUACUUAGCAUAUAAUUUCUUUUUUUUUUUGUCUAUUCUAUUCUUAAUGAUUAAAUAUGAAAAUGACGUCCAUUUGUUGUGAUUUGCAAUUAAACUGAAUGCCAUUUCAUUAAUAAUAAAGUAGAUCACUAAUACCAUCCUUUCAAAAGAGGAAAAAUUAUGGAUUCUUGGCCCAAUCUUGUUGCUGUCUGCCGUCUUUUCUCCUUAGAAAGCUAUUGCAGUGUCCAACUAAAUCCAAUUUUCCUGCCUAUUAUUCCUCUCGCAACAGUUGCCUUAUCACAUCAUUCUCCACCUUUGACAGCCCAACCGGUCCCAUCAGCCCCAAUGUGUCCCUCUCACACAAGCUUUUUCACUCACACACGAAAUCUAGUCCCUCUAAUCCAACUGUUUUCUCCUCUCUCUUUCGCAAGCCAAGCCAUUCUCUCAAAUAACCCUCCCCCCUCCUCCUUCAUCCUUUUCAGCUUCAUGUCUCCUCACUUCUUCGUACCCAAACUGUUCCAACAUUAUCCGAACCUUUUCAUCAUUUGCCUCAAUGCACUGUUUUGAAACCCAGUGCCCUAAAUAUUCUAUUCUCUCUCUUAGAAAUGACGCUUCUUGGAGUUCACACGAACGGUUGGUGGUUUUUGAUUUUGAUAUUGUCUAUGGAACUGACAGACCGACUACACGAACGGUUGGUAAGUCUUGGGUGAAACUUCGCCGGAGCUGUACUGUUGUGAAGGAGAGACGCAUAAUGUGGUGGCACUGGUUUUCAGAGGGAGAACAGAAAGAGAAGAGGAAUAGGAGGAUGAGAAGGAAAAAUUAGGGAGAAAAAAACCACAGUUGUGGGGUGGUGCCGACAGUACUGAUCAGUGGGAUUCUGGCAAGAAAAAGAUUGGGGAGAAAUGUUGUCACUUGUAAUUGAAGAAAAGAAAAUCAGAAAGAAGAUAGAAAAAAAUGAAGAAAGAUGAGAAAAAUGAAAGAUGGACGUGAGGGAGACGGGAGCAGAUGGAGGA